RNAcentral lists this ribosomal RNA (1440 nucleotides) under Lactiplantibacillus plantarum. RNAcentral describes it as "bacterial SSU rRNA". It matches the Rfam family "Bacterial small subunit ribosomal RNA". Lineage: Bacteria; Bacillati; Bacillota; Bacilli; Lactobacillales; Lactobacillaceae. The record is from RNAcentral.
GCAGUCGAACGAACUCUGGUAUUGAUUGGUGCUUGCAUCAUGAUUUACAUUUGAGUGAGUGGCGAACUGGUGAGUAACACGUGGGAAACCUGCCCAGAAGCGGGGGAUAACACCUGGAAACAGAUGCUAAUACCGCAUAACAACUUGGACCGCAUGGUCCGAGUUUGAAAGAUGGCUUCGGCUAUCACUUUUGGAUGGUCCCGCGGCGUAUUAGCUAGAUGGUGGGGUAACGGCUCACCAUGGCAAUGAUACGUAGCCGACCUGAGAGGGUAAUCGGCCACAUUGGGACUGAGACACGGCCCAAACUCCUACGGGAGGCAGCAGUAGGGAAUCUUCCACAAUGGACGAAAGUCUGAUGGAGCAACGCCGCGUGAGUGAAGAAGGGUUUCGGCUCGUAAAACUCUGUUGUUAAAGAAGAACAUAUCUGAGAGUAACUGUUCAGGUAUUGACGGUAUUUAACCAGAAAGCCACGGCUAACUACGUGCCAGCAGCCGCGGUAAUACGUAGGUGGCAAGCGUUGUCCGGAUUUAUUGGGCGUAAAGCGAGCGCAGGCGGUUUUUUAAGUCUGAUGUGAAAGCCUUCGGCUCAACCGAAGAAGUGCAUCGGAAACUGGGAAACUUGAGUGCAGAAGAGGACAGUGGAACUCCAUGUGUAGCGGUGAAAUGCGUAGAUAUAUGGAAGAACACCAGUGGCGAAGGCGGCUGUCUGGUCUGUAACUGACGCUGAGGCUCGAAAGUAUGGGUAGCAAACAGGAUUAGAUACCCUGGUAGUCCAUACCGUAAACGAUGAAUGCUAAGUGUUGGAGGGUUUCCGCCCUUCAGUGCUGCAGCUAACGCAUUAAGCAUUCCGCCUGGGGAGUACGGCCGCAAGGCUGAAACUCAAAGGAAUUGACGGGGGCCCGCACAAGCGGUGGAGCAUGUGGUUUAAUUCGAAGCUACGCGAAGAACCUUACCAGGUCUUGACAUACUAUGCAAAUCUAAGAGAUUAGACGUUCCCUUCGGGGACAUGGAUACAGGUGGUGCAUGGUUGUCGUCAGCUCGUGUCGUGAGAUGUUGGGUUAAGUCCCGCAACGAGCGCAACCCUUAUUAUCAGUUGCCAGCAUUAAGUUGGGCACUCUGGUGAGACUGCCGGUGACAAACCGGAGGAAGGUGGGGAUGACGUCAAAUCAUCAUGCCCCUUAUGACCUGGGCUACACACGUGCUACAAUGGAUGGUACAACGAGUUGCGAACUCGCGAGAGUAAGCUAAUCUCUUAAAGCCAUUCUCAGUUCGGAUUGUAGGCUGCAACUCGCCUACAUGAAGUCGGAAUCGCUAGUAAUCGCGGAUCAGCAUGCCGCGGUGAAUACGUUCCCGGGCCUUGUACACACCGCCCGUCACACCAUGAGAGUUUGUAACACCCAAAGUCGGUGGGGUAACCUUUUAGGAACCAGCCGCCUAAGGU